CUACGGGGGGCAGCAGUGAGGAAUUUUGCGCAAUGGGGGAAACCCUGACGCAGCAACGCCGCGUGAGCGAAGAAGGCCCUUGGGUCGUAAAGCUCUGUCAAGUGGGAAAAAAAUCUUUUGAUCAAUAGUCAAAAGACUUGAUGGUACCACUGGAGGAAGCACCGGCUAACUCCGUGCCAGCAGCCGCGGUAAUACGGAGGGUGCAAGCGUUGUUCGGAAUUACUGGGCGUAAAGGGCGUGCAGGCGGUUUGGCAAGUCAGAUGUGAAAGCCCUGGGCUUAACCCGGGAAGUGCAUUUGAAACUGCCUUUCUUGAGUAUGGGAGAGGAGAGUGGAAUUCCCAGUGUAGAGGUGAAAUUCGUAGAUAUUGGGAGGAACACCCGUGGCGAAGGCGACUCUCUGGACCAAUACUGACGCUGAGACGCGAAAGCGUGGGGAGCAAACAGGAUUAGAUACCCCAGUAGUC
RNAcentral lists this ribosomal RNA (464 nucleotides) under uncultured bacterium. RNAcentral describes it as "partial 16S ribosomal RNA". It matches the Rfam family "Bacterial small subunit ribosomal RNA", at positions 339 to 795 of the family's 1533-position model. The record is from RNAcentral.